CUCCUACGGGAGGCAGCAGUCGGGAAUAUUGCACAAUGGAGGAAACUCUGAUGCAGUGACACCGCGUAUAGGAAGAAGGUUUUCGGAUUGUAAACUAUUUUAGACAGGGAAGAAAAAAGACAGUACCUGUAGAAUAAGCUCCGGCUAACUACGUGCCAGCAGCCGCGGUAAUACGUAGGGAGCAAGCGUUAUCCGGAAUUACUGGGUGUAAAGGGAGCGUAGGCGGGGAUGCAAGUUGGGUGUCAAAACUACCGGCUCAACUGGUAGUCGCACUCAAAACUGCAGCUCUUGAGUGAAGUAGAGGG
RNAcentral lists this ribosomal RNA (305 nucleotides) under uncultured bacterium. Its description in RNAcentral is "bacterial SSU rRNA". It matches the Rfam family "Bacterial small subunit ribosomal RNA", at positions 336 to 658 of the family's 1533-position model. The record is from RNAcentral.